Cornus florida is the source of this 2097-nucleotide long non-coding RNA. RefSeq lists it as uncharacterized. The record is from RefSeq and is a predicted model, not a curated record. The transcript has 3 exons. Lineage: Eukaryota; Viridiplantae; Streptophyta; Magnoliopsida; Cornales; Cornaceae.
UUUUCAUUCGGGCCUUAAGGGGCAGCCUUAACGAAUACUGGAGAGAAAAGGCGCAGCCUCUUCUUUGGAUGAGUCCUAGUCGCCUUAUCGUUGAGCCGGCCCUAGAAUCACAGUGUUUUAUCACACCUUUAAUCUCCAAUGAUUUUAUUUAUAGAUGCUCGUGUUUUAAAUUCAACAAUCCAUAAACUGUCUCCAUCUCUCAAAUCCAUCUCAACUUCCACAAAUCAACACUCAUUUACAGUCAAUUAGCUCAUCAAUUCAUGUGGGUUGAGUCCACGAACUGCUAUUUCUGCUUCCAAAUACUUCAAUUUCAAACCCUAGACAAAACCAGAUUCGGUUCUCUACUUCUUCAAAAAAAAAAAACACAUAGUUUGAAGAACUCGAAUUUGGGGAAAAGGGUUUUCUCGGGAUCAGAAAAACGCCCAAAACUUCUCUAUGGGAUUCCAAGAAAACCAUUUUGCCCAAGUUCCAGGUCUUUAACUCGGCUGGCAUUUCGAGCACUGAGCUCACCAAGAUCCCAACUAUAUUGACAUAAAGCUUGGCGAACAUUAGUGAAGAGUUUAUUUCGUACAGAUGUGUGAGCAUAAAACGUUAGGUGAAAAAACAACUUGGAAGGUUACCAAGCCUACCUCUAAAACAUCCCAAAGUUCAACCUUCUUCUGGGUGCUUUUGCCAGACUCUAAAAUAUCCCCAAAGUUCACCCUGUUCUUGCUUUUGCCUGACGAAAACACCAGCAUUACGAGGGAUGCCCGUGGCUGUUCAACAUUAGGUACAGUCAUGUUGUUGCUGGAAGAUUGCUAAUCUAAUUCAGUUCUACAUCAAGAUAACAUUUUGUUCCAAUUCCCUAAGCAGCUGCUGUGGGAUUUCAUGACUAGUACUGAUCGGUUUAAGGAGAUUGUGGAGGAAGUAAAGAAAAUGGGUCUUAACCCUGAGAGAAUGAAUUUCGCUUUUGCAGUUCAUGCACUGAGUAAAUCAAAUUGGGAAAAGAAGGUGGAGGUUUAUAAGAAGUGGUUUUUGUCUGAGGAUGAGAUUUUGGUGGCUUUUGGGAAGAAUCCAUGGUUUAUGAUGAAGUCGGAUGCUAAGAUUAUAAAGAAAAUGGAUUUUUUUGUCAAUAAAGUGGGUUGGGAGUCUUCAAUUGUUGCGACGAGUCCAGUGCUUAUUUGCUUGAGCUUGGAGAGGAGGAUCAUUCCAAGGCAUUUGGUUUAUUAAAGUCUGCUGUCAAAAGGUUUGCUUAAGAACAAAUUUGGCUUGAGUUGGAUGUUGGAGUCUCCUGAAAGUUACUUCCUAAAGAACUAUGUGAAAAAGUACGAGGAAGAAGCUCCAGUGCUUUUGAAGUUAUUUCAGGAGAAGUUGAAUCUUUCAAAUGUUCAGCAGGUUCCGACUUCAUUCUCGUGUUCUCACUAUGUAAAAGUGAAGGCAGGUGGGGGUUGAACUUCCAAGCGAGCUGGUCAAGCAGGCGUCAAUGCCUUUAUCUAGUUACUGUCGGAAGAUGGUGGUAUAAACAACCCCAUAGCGAAAAAGCCUUCAGUAAGGAGUUCGGGCAGAGGAAGAUAACCCAUUGCAUUCACUACUAGAAUAUGGGAAAAAUGAGGAACAGAGUGGACUUCCUUUUCAAGGUCAUACCAUACAUCUCUCUGAAUCCAACUAUACAUUGGUUUCUCCUAUGUUUACUCUUGUUGGCCCUGGGUGGUGAAUUUGCUUUUGCAUGAAAUACAACGUGGCAAUCAAUUCACAUUCAUUAAUCUCUGAGCAAAUUUGAGUUCUACGUUUUACUUCCGGCUUCCGGGAAUUGAAACUUGGAAGAUCAACAACAUAUUGCAUUGAAUUCUAGGAUGCUUCUGUAGUGGUUUGGCCCAUUUGGGCUUGGUGUGAUAUACCAUUGUCCGUUUAUCUGGGAGAUAAGCCUGGUGAUCUUGGUUUUGUUUGAACUAAUUCAGGUUGCAUUUAGUAACGUGUUCGUUUUCUGUUUUUGCAGUCGCAAAGAAACAUAAACAUAAUUUUGUUUUUCGAAGUAAAAACAGAAAGCAAAAAUAAGGUUCAGUAACUUUUGCUGUUGCCACAAUUUUAAUAACAAAAAACAAAAAGCAGUGUUUAGUA